UCCCUCCUAGCUCAGUUGGUAAAGAACCUGCCAACAAUGCAGGAGACCUGGGUUCAAUUCCUAGGUUGGGAA
RNAcentral lists this transfer RNA (72 nucleotides) under Bos taurus (domestic cattle). It matches the Rfam family "tRNA". From Rfam's summary of the family: Transfer RNA (tRNA) molecules are approximately 80 nucleotides in length. Their secondary structure includes four short double-helical elements and three loops (D, anti-codon, and T loops). The record is from Rfam by way of RNAcentral. Lineage: Eukaryota; Metazoa; Chordata; Mammalia; Artiodactyla; Bovidae. RNAcentral also lists the same sequence under 3 other names.